This 253-nucleotide ribosomal RNA is filed under the name uncultured bacterium. Its description in RNAcentral is "partial 16S ribosomal RNA". It matches the Rfam family "Bacterial small subunit ribosomal RNA", at positions 524 to 776 of the family's 1533-position model. The record is from RNAcentral.
UACGUAGGGUGCGAGCGUUAAUCGGAAUUACUGGGCGUAAAGCGUGCGCAGGCGGUUCUGUAAGCCAGAUGUGAAAUCCCCGGGCUUAACCUGGGAACUGCAUUUGGGACUGCAAGGCUUGAGUACGGCAGAGGGGGGUAGAAUUCCUGGUGUAGCAGUGAAAUGCGUAGAUAUCAGGAGGAAUACCGAUGGCGAAGGCAGCCCCCUGGGUCGAUACUGACGCUCAUGCACGAAAGCGUGGGGAGCAAACAGG